GACGAACGCUGGCGGCGGGCUUAACACAUGCAAGUCGAACGGAAAGGCCCUGCUUGUGUGGGGUGCUCGAGUGGCGAACGGGUGAGUAACCCGUGAGUAACCUGGCCUUUACUUUGUGAUAACUUCAGGCAACUGGUGCUAAUACCUGCUAGGAGCUCCUGCUGCAUGGUGGGGGUUGGAAAGCUUGGGCGGUGGGGGAUGGAUGUGCGGCUUAUCAGCUUGUUGGUGGGGGAGUUGCUUACCAAGGGUUUGACGGGUAGCCGGCAUGGGAGCGUGGCCGGCGACCUUGGGACUGAGAUACGGCCCAGAGUGCUACGGGAGGCAGAAGUGGGGAGUAUUGCACAAUGGGCGGACGCGUGAUGCAGAAACGCCGCGUGCGGGAUGACGGCCUUCGGGUUGUAAACCGCUUUAGCCUGUGACGAAGCGUGAGUGACGGUAAUGAGUAAAGAAGCACCGGCUAACUACGUG
Molecule: ribosomal RNA, 468 nt
Filed under: uncultured bacterium
Lineage: Bacteria
Description: partial 16S ribosomal RNA
Rfam family: Bacterial small subunit ribosomal RNA
Source: RNAcentral